Molecule: unclassified non-coding RNA, 372 nt
Filed under: uncultured fungus
Lineage: Eukaryota; Fungi
Description: sequence contains ITS1
Rfam family: 5.8S ribosomal RNA (bases 1-107)
Source: RNAcentral
GAAAUGCGAGACUUGGUGUGAAUUGUAGAAUCUCGCGAACCAUCGAGUUUUUGAACACAAGUUGCACCCGAAGCCAUUAGGUUGAGGGCACGUCUGCCUGGGCGUCUCACGUUGCAUCGCCCAUGCCCUCUCCCCCCCUCCCCCCGAUGGGGAAGAAGGGCUGCGAGCGGAUGUUGGCCCCCGCACGCGGUUGGACCAAAAGCGAGUCCCCCGCGACGGAGGACGAGUCGCGACGAGUGGUGGUUGACAAAUCGUUGCGCCGCCUCGCAUGCGUCCGCACUGUCUCGGGAGGCCUGUCGUGACCCUAUCGGGCCGCCGCUAAGGCACUCUGAUCGCGACCCCAGGCCAGGCAGGAUUACCCGCUGAGUUUAA